RNAcentral lists this ribosomal RNA (253 nucleotides) under uncultured bacterium. RNAcentral's name for it is "partial 16S ribosomal RNA". It matches the Rfam family "Archaeal small subunit ribosomal RNA", at positions 474 to 727 of the family's 1478-position model. The record is from RNAcentral.
UACCAGCACCCCGAGUGGUCGGGACGAUUAUUGGGCCUAAAGCAUCCGUAGCCGGUCCUACAAGUCUUCCGUUAAAUCCACCUGCUCAACAGAUGGGCUGCGGAGGAUACUAUAGGGCUAGGAGGCGGGAGAGGCAAGCGGUACUCAGUGGGUAGGGGUAAAAUCCUCUGAUCCAUUGAAGACCACCAGUGGCGAAGGCGGCUUGCCAGAAUGCGCUCGACGGUGAGGGAUGAAAGCUGGGGGAGCAAACCGG